RNAcentral lists this long non-coding RNA (202 nucleotides) under Elaeis guineensis (African oil palm). Its description in RNAcentral is "long non-coding RNA (EGUI_LNC051644)". The record is from RNAcentral. Lineage: Eukaryota; Viridiplantae; Streptophyta; Magnoliopsida; Arecales; Arecaceae.
CGCAUCGGGGUUCUAAUUCAUUUGGAUUUUUUCUUAUCUCUUCUUUCUUACACCUCUCUCCCUAUUAUCCAAUUAUUCUUUUCCUUCCCUUAUUAGGACAAGUCCUAAAAUAGUGAGGACAAGUCUGAUUUUAGGACAAAGAUCUAGGAAGAGAUAUAAAGAAGACAAGGAGACAAGAAAGGUAGAGAUAAGAAGGCUAGGA